GCAUUGGUGAUUCAGUGGUAGAAUACUUGCCUCCCCUGAGGGAGACCCAGGUUCAAUUCCUGGCCAGUGCA
Molecule: transfer RNA, 71 nt
Organism: Loxodonta africana (African savanna elephant)
Lineage: Eukaryota; Metazoa; Chordata; Mammalia; Proboscidea; Elephantidae
Rfam family: tRNA
About the family: Transfer RNA (tRNA) molecules are approximately 80 nucleotides in length. Their secondary structure includes four short double-helical elements and three loops (D, anti-codon, and T loops). Further hydrogen bonds mediate the characteristic L-shaped molecular structure. tRNAs have two regions of fundamental functional importance: the anti-codon, which is responsible for specific mRNA codon recognition, and the 3' end, to which the tRNAs corresponding amino acid is attached (by aminoacyl-tRNA synthetases). tRNAs cope with the degeneracy of the genetic code in two manners: having more than one tRNA (with a specific anti-codon) for a particular amino acid; and 'wobble' base-pairing, i.e. permitting non-standard base-pairing at the 3rd anti-codon position.
Source: Rfam